Molecule: ribosomal RNA, 460 nt
Filed under: uncultured bacterium
Lineage: Bacteria
Description: partial 16S ribosomal RNA
Rfam family: Bacterial small subunit ribosomal RNA
Source: RNAcentral
CCUACGGGUGGCAGCAGUGAGGAAUAUUGGUCAAUGGACGAGAGUCUGAACCAGCCAAGUAGCGUGAAGGAUGACUGCCCUAUGGUUUGUAAACUUCUUUUAUAUGGGAAUAAAAUGUUCCACGUGUGUGAUUUUGUAUGUACCAUAUGUAUAAGGAUCGGCUAACUCCGUGCCAGCAGCCGCGGUAAUACGGAGGAUCCGAGCGUUAUCCGGAUUUAUUGGGUUUAAAGGGAGCGUAGGUGGAUUGUUAAGUCAGUUGUGAAAGUUUGCGGCUCAACCGUAAAAUGGCAGUUGAAACUGGCAGUCUUGAGUACAGUAGAGGUGAGCGGAAUUCGUGGUGUAGCGGUGAAAUGCUUAGAUAUCACGAAGAACUCCGAUUGCGAAGGCAGUUCACUGGACUGCAACUGACACUGAGGCUCGAAAGUGUGGGUAUCAAACAGGAUUAGAUACCCUUGUAGUC